This 2140-nucleotide long non-coding RNA is filed under the name Marmota monax (woodchuck). The record is from RNAcentral. Lineage: Eukaryota; Metazoa; Chordata; Mammalia; Rodentia; Sciuridae.
GAGUCUCUGAGGUCUUACCUGGUGCCUGCUGGGGAGUGUGGUAGUGGGCGGAUUGUUUUUGAAAGGUCUCGCCCUCCCUGCUGCAGGAAUGGAUUCCUCCUCUGUGUGCUGGUGGGAACCCCUGGAAAUGCUGUCGGGCUCCCCCUGACUCUUCUGUGAGAGUGGGUCUCACUAUGGUGCCCAGGCCCAUCCGGAACUCCUGGGCCCAGAGAGAUCCUCCCGAAUCAGUCUCUGGAGACCCUGGGACCACAGGCGCAUGCCACUGCUCGCAACUCCACCACCUUUUAAAAAUGUGCCGACACAAACUCCAAAGAAGUGAAUUCUCGUUUCAGACUUCAAAGUGAGGAGUGAAAGAAACUUAAGAGGGGCUCGUGGAGCUGAGGCCCAGAGGCCGGAGGCCCAGAGGGGCUGGCUUCAGGACUCCUCAUCCUCCUUCAAGUGUGCAGGAGGGGAAGAGGGGCUCUCCAUCCUGUCCCAGGCAGCCUGCCCCCCCGGGCUGGCCUGUUUCAAGUGCAGUGUCCUAGACACUGCCUGGCUUCUAGGAUGUGUCUGGAAAAGGCUGGUUUGGGGAGGGAUCUGCAGGUUUGACCUGUGGUCCCAACACCAGAACAUGCUCAGCCUGUGGAUGGAUGGAGCUGCGAACGAGGUUGGCCAGGGGCUAGGCUUUGUCUUGUGUGGGGUGGGAUUUCACGGCAGCCCAGAACAGCGGUCAACCUUCCGUGUGACUGGAGGCUGCUCGGUGACUGGCGACAGCCAGUGUGCAGGUGGACCAGCCUCACGCUGCCCAGGUGGACGAGGCCGAGGGGCUGGGGUCCACGGGAGCAUUGCCGAGGUGCCGACCAACAACCUUCCCACUGGGAGUUCUCAGGGGCAAGUUGUCUGCUUCCACGAGAGCCCGUGAAACUCCCUGCCUUGUCUAAAACAGGCCGAAGUUGAGAUUCUCAAACCCCACAUGACGUAAGGGAGUAGGAUCUGAGCAGACCUGGGGUUGAGAGGCACUGUGGGGUGGCGUGGUGGCACACACCUGUUAUCUGAGGCGGGAGGAUCACUAGUUCAAGCCCAGCCUUGGCAGGUUAGUGAGACCCUCAGCAACUUAGCAAGACUCCAAAAGAAAAAAUAAGAGGACUGGGGACACAGCUGAGCACUGAAGAGACCCUGAUUCAGAUCCAAAAGGACAGUUAGUGCUGCAGCGGUGGAUCUUGGCCUCACGGGAGAAGCGUGGCAGCCUCUCAGCACCCUCCCUCCACAUCCUGGUCCCCAGUAUCACUCCCAGCAAGCUCUCACUGCCGCAGUCUGGCUGGGCACAAAAGAACCGAGCCGCCAGGAGGCACUGGUAGGUUCAAACAGGAACUCCUUUAUUCCCGAACUCCCGCGCACAUGCGGCCCUUCCAGGAACACCACACACCAACCGGAACUCCCCCCCCUUCCCCAACCAAUGCGAACUCUCCAGGAAUCCCCGCUCGAGAGCUCAACCAGAACUCAACAGAAACUCCGGGAACUCUGCGCUAGAACUCAAAAGUAUUGCCGGACAGCAGGGGUCUGUAUACAACUUAAUACACAGCCUGUUUCAAUCCAGCAUCAUCCAGUCACAGCAGUGAUACACAGCUUAACUUAAUCAUCAUCAUCUUAAUGGCACCUCUCAACCACUCCUUCUGGCAAAAAUGCCAGGCAUCAUCCCGACUCGGCUAUGGCUCUCAACAUCUCCCCCUUCUGUUUAAUUAAACAACAAGCAUGUGGCUUAGGGACGUGCCUGUCUUAGGUUGUCCAAUACUUCAUAUGGUCCUUACCCGUCAUCGGAUGAGCUGACCUCAAGGCGUCAGCCUCCUGUCUUAGGUUGGUACCAUUGCAAUUGGAUCUUACCUGUUAUUGACUACCGGUCCAGCAUACAGCCACACCUGUGGAUAGGCCUUUGCACCAGUGGGGGGGUGAGGUUCUUUGCCUCACCUCUGUUGGCCCCCAAAUUUUACCUGAACGACCAUCACAAGCAGAAGGGAGGAGGAUACAAAAAUGCUACGACACCAAGCCAAUUGACGGCUCCUUUUGGAAAAAUUGUACCAUUGAUGACACCAUCAGCAAAGAUACCCCAGCACUAACACAAUUUGCUGCACCAACAGAUAGUUCACAAUGCAUACAAGUGAUA